RNAcentral lists this non-coding RNA (90 nucleotides) under Paenibacillus lactis. RNAcentral's name for it is "TPP riboswitch (THI element)". It matches the Rfam family "TPP riboswitch aptamer (THI element)", at positions 6 to 94 of the family's 105-position model. Rfam says of the family: Vitamin B(1) in its active form thiamin pyrophosphate (TPP) is an essential coenzyme that is synthesised by coupling of pyrimidine and thiazole moieties in bacteria. Lineage: Bacteria; Bacillati; Bacillota; Bacilli; Caryophanales; Paenibacillaceae. The record is from RNAcentral.
CCACUAGGGGAGCCGUCAGCGGCUGAGACAAGAGCGUAUCUUGGACCCUUUGAACCUGAUCUAGUUCGUACUAGCGUAGGAAAGUGGAGC